GAUGAACGCUAGCGAUAGGCUUAACACAUGCAAGUCGAGGGGCAGCACAAGGUAGCUUGCUAUCUGGGUGGCGACCGGCGCACGGGUGCGUAACGCGUAUGCAACUUGCCCUAUACAGGAGGAUAACCCGUCGAAAGACGGACUAAUACUGCGUAUGCUCACAACUUGGCAUCAAGUGGUGAGGAAAGAAAUUCGGUAUAGGAUAGGCAUGCGUCCCAUUAGCUUGUUGGUGAGGUAACGGCUCACCAAGGCAACGAUGGGUAGGGGAACUGAGAGGUUUAUCCCCCACACUGGUACUGAGACACGGACCAGACUCCUACGGGAGGCAGCAGUGAGGAAUAUUGGUCAAUGGACGCGAGCCUGAACCAGCCAAGUCGCGUGAAGGAUGACUGUCUUAUGGAUUGUAAACUUCUUUUAUACGGGAAUAACAAGAGUCACGUGUGACUCCCUGCAUGUACCGUAUGAAUAAGCAUCGGCUAACUCCGUG
RNAcentral lists this ribosomal RNA (487 nucleotides) under uncultured bacterium. Its description in RNAcentral is "partial 16S ribosomal RNA". It matches the Rfam family "Bacterial small subunit ribosomal RNA", at positions 28 to 507 of the family's 1533-position model. The record is from RNAcentral.